GCGUCUGUCCAUUUAGUCCCAAAAGGACAGACCGCACGGCCCAAUGCGCGACCCCAUCAUUACUUUUUGUCUAUUUCACGUCUGGUCCGCUUCAUUUCCUGCUCAAACAUCCACCGGCUUUGCGUCCACACGGACGACGAACGGACGCCGACGCGCUCGCUCAGCGUUCGCUUCGAGCCCGCGUGGCAGCUGCGCACCUACCAUCCACCACACACAUUUACCGCGCACAUGCGGGCAGUCCUACUUGGCAGCCAUCCCGGUCGAGCAGUCGUCGUCCUUUUUAAUGUGAAGGUCGUGGACCGAUGGAGUCCACACUUCCACUUCCCCGGUGAUGCGUGCCUCCUCGUAGCCCGACAGCCAAACCCUAGCCCACCGCUCCUCUACCUCCCCACCAGCGACAAUGGUGGGCCGCUGGUUUCCCGGCCGCAAGACGAGGCACGACCACAAGGCCAGGUCCUUGUCUGGCGGCGUCGCCGCUUCCCCACUCCACCUCCGGCCUGGCAGGGGCCGCCAUCCCACCUCUGGCAGCCACCUUCAUACGUCAACCUCACCGGCGACGACGAUGAUGAGUAGACGGCGGCUACGGAAGGCGACGAAAGCCCUUAUCUAGUUUCUUUUUACAUGUUUUUGUUUAUAUUAAUGUGCGGAACUUGGAUAAUGGGACGUUUUAAUGUUUAUAUUAAUGUUUUCGAGUUGUUUUCAAUGUUUAUUUGGUUUUUUGGGGUUUUAAAUUCACGUCAUAAAAACGGUCAGUUUGGGGUGCGGUCGGCCCGUUGGGCUCACCGCAGGCCCUUAUUUUUUUUAAUGUUUUUGUUUAUAUUAAUGUGCUGAAGUUGGGUAAUGUGGACGUUUUAAUGUUUUCGAGUUAUUUUUGAUGUUUAUUUGGGUUUUUUGGGGGUUUAAAUUCACGUAUGAAAAAACGGAUAGUUUGGGGUGCGGUCGGCCCAUUGGGCGCACCGCAGGCCCUUAUCUAGUUUGUUUUUAAUAUUUUUGUUUAUAUUAAUGUGCUGAAUUUGGGUAAUGCGGACGUUUUAAUGUUUUUGAGUUAUUUUCAAUGUAUAUUUGGGUUUUGGGGGUUUAAAUUCACGUAUAAAAAACGGAUAGUUUAGGGUGCGGUCGGCUCGUUGGGCGCACCGACGACCGCUCAACCGCAAGUGGACGACGAUGUCCGUUUUCCUGCCAAAACGGACGAAAAACGAACGAAACGGACGUCCGUUUGGGUCGUGCGUUGGAGUUGGCCUCACUCAGCAAACACAUAUCACUUUCUGCAUUUAUUUCCUCCUCUCCGUAUAGCCUGCUCUUCCCGUACCUGAUGCCGGAUCCAAGCACCCACGAGCACAGGUUGUAGAAAUCGUGCAGCAUCCUCUGAAUGUUCUGCCAGUGCAGGGGGUUCGAUCUGGGGGUGCUCUGCCACUCGGAAUCUGCACUCACAGCAGUUCAAUGUAUGUUCAGAAAAUUGACGUUAGCUGCAUCAGAAAUUCAGAAAGUACGAGCCGCAGCUUCCUUCGCACACGCGUCCACCGAGCAGCUGUCAUCCGUCGGGGCCCCUGUUUCUUCAUCGCCACCAUUCCCGCGCACACGGCCGCCUCACCGCAAUCGCCGUCAAUCGACGACACUGGGAACCUGCUCACCAACAAUAACCUAUCAACCCACGGAGCCAAUCCGAGCAUACAGCCUAGGCCAGUGGGAAAUCAAGUCGAAAAUCUUACCUAUCGACCCGAUCUGAUAGGAACUCGAAGCCUCCCGUCAUCCUGCCCGCUGACUUCAUUUGCUGGAAUUUUUCCUGGGCGUCGUCUCUGUUCGAGUCCACGCAGGAGGGCGGGGACAGCGGUGCCUACAACCCCAUCCUCGCAAGCGGACGGCCGGCACCGUUGCCUGUUGACUGUUCGGAGUUCGCCGCCGACAAUCUGAUGUUCCCGCAAACGCCGUUCAGGUCUACUCGGAGCCUGGCCGUCGGUCGCCCAACUCACCAAUGUUGAACUGGCCUACUGCAUCUAGCAGACCUAGAGCGGGCUGUGCCGGUGGCGCGUAGUCACCACCUGCUAACGCCCGCACAGGGAACCUAGCCAACGGGAGAACGCUCCCUGAGAUUCAUGAUCCACCGUCAAUGGAAAUCAAACGAGGGCAAUAAGCAUACCGAUCGACUGGAUCUGCUAAGAACUCGAACCCAUCCCCCACCGUCUCCAUCGUCAACCCUCUCAAGCCGCGCACCGAAACCGGAGGAAUAGUUUCUUAGAAUAGCAGGUACCCUUCUCGUUGGAGCCCAGUUGCCGCUUGCCAGUACUAUAUUUCCUUAUUUUUUCCACCUCAAACGCCGUUUGUGAAAGCCGGUAAACGGAGCUCCGGUUAUCCUGUACGGACGGACCAUCAUCACCCAGUUACGUCCUCCGUCCACACGUCAGGCGGACCCAUUCCUGUACAUGCGGCAGUAUUUCUACCAUCCAUAAAUGCAGAUGAAACGUGAGGCUGCACCAUUGGUCCAUAUAACGGGAGUAGGCGAGCUCGUGCGCUCUUUCGCCACUCUCAAAGGAACAACUAUUAUCUUAUACUCAUUAUAUAUUUGAUGGGUACUUAUCCAUCUUGAAACUGCAACUGCAAGAUCCAGUGUCGCCUACACGUGUUUCAAAUUUUUAUACGGUAGGCGGAGAAGCUUUGUGCAUGUGCUGACCACAAAGAUUGUUGUUGUUUGUAGCACGGGCUACUUUAUGCGUUGUCUAAAUUUUUAGUUUGGCUUCUCACACCAUGUUUUGCUUAGCUAAAUCUUUGUGUGUGUUCGUGCUGCAAGCUAUAAUGCAUCAGUGGACGAGUGUGGUUUACAAGGAGAACGAGACAGAUGCGAUCGCUUGGUUUUCUGCUUUCAGGUAAUCAGGUUGCCUGCUACAAAUACAACUACAGGCUCAGGUAUAUAUGUUUGUUUCUUUGUCCACCGUUUAUAGAAUAAAACUUCUUGUGUGCCAGAUCGCCGGGCUUGCUGUUCAUGGUCGUCAUGUUCGUGAACGGCGGGUACGCGACCAACUCGAUAUAGUUCAUGCCGUGGUGGAUGGUCAAGUACAGGGGCUGUCCAAGCACAAUGUUGUGGACAUGGUCGAGGCAGUGUUGUUCUUCUUAGCUUGUCACGGUGGGUAUCUGCCUCGACAAGGAGUAUCGUCCACGAGGUCGUGCCAAGGUCGCCUCUCCAUGGCCGGAGGGGGAGGAAACGGGUGACGACAGCAGUGGCAGUUCUCGGACCACUCGGUCGGACCGGGCGAAACCCUGACAAGACCAGUACCGUUCGGGCGGAAUUAUACAGACCGGACCGGCUAAAUAUACCAGCAGGCUGAGACCGUGCGGUCCUGUUCUGCAUAGAAUUGGUUUCCGGAGGUGUGGCUGGCUCAUCGGGUAGGAAACACAAGCAUAGAAAACCUUUAUACGAAAAUAUUAGAUCAAUUCUACUAAUUUACUAUAUAUCUCAGAUAGCCCAUAUGCGAAAAGGGAACCAUGCAUGAUCGGGAUAUCAUAUUACGGUGUUUCCCGGAUUAUUGAUUUCAUUUGUUUCAAGACAAAAAAUUCAUGCUAUAUUAUUCACAACUCUUUUUUAAAUUAAAUAGUACUCCCACCGUUUCAUAAUGUAAAACGUUUUUUGAGAUUAGUCAAGAAAAAUAACUGAAAGCUGUAAAAUAACAUCUUACAUUAUGGGAUGGAGGGAGUAUUUCUCAUGCAUGCUUUUUUUCGGUUCACAUAGCAUGUAAAAUAACUGAAAGCUGUAAGUAGGUAGUUCAUCCAUCUCCUGCUCCAAUCGCAAGCAUGGACGAAUCUGGCGUCGGUCCCCAGCCAUCCACUUCCCGCAGCAAGUGGAAGCCUCGACUUCAAUGAUGCAAGUCAAUUGUUGGGCGCCGGUAGCCUUCUUCACAUGCCUGCGUAGUCAAGAGCAUCAUCUCCAACGCUAGAGCGCUCACGAGCAUACCAAUCAAUUAUUAUGAUUUCUUUUCCUUCCUUGCAAUUUUUUCACCAUUUUCUUAAAAAUGGAAUGAUGUUAACUGAACUAAUAGUUUUUUGGUGGGGAAUUGAGCUAAUAGUUUUCAAAAAUACAUGAUUAUGGAAGCAAGUAGGAGAGGAUGUCAACAAUUACUACUUGCAUUUUUUUUGUAUGUUUGCAAUUCAACUACUUUUUUGAUUUGUCAUCUUAUAGGUUUGGCAUGCAUGUGGGAUAAUGAAGUGUUACUUUUUUUUUGUUGUACAGUUUGUGAAAUAAUCGGUACGUGCAUGUGGUCAAUCAUUUUAUAAGUUAAAAAAAUCAUUCAGUUACCAAUGUUGUAGGAUGGCAAUGAACUUUUUAUUUAUGAACUACCAAUUUUUCACUUUGUGUUCUAAUGCGUGAUUUUUAUCUAGGCCGGAUCACUUCUCUAAAUAUACCACAAAAAUAUCGGUGACCAAGGAAAGUGAUUGUGCUUGUUUCUUUGACCUUGUACAUUUCACUUGAUCACAUGUCUGAUUCAUCUAGAUUAGCUCCAUAAAGAAGCAUGACAUUGUUUAAAAACAAUUUAUAGAGCAAGGGACAUAGAAUAAUUUUUGUAUCAUGUUGCAACGCACAGGCAAUUUUCCUAGUGUCCUAUUAAAAUUAUACAAUAAUGUUACAGCAGGACAUGAGGGGUUUGAUGUUAUAUGUACUAACCACUCUAAUAAAAAGUUCAGUUAAGUUUUGUGAGGAUGAAGUGUUCGACGAUCGAGGAGGUAUCGAUAUGAGAAGAAUAAGGAGGGGCAAGAGUUCAAGCUUGAGGACGCCCAAGGCACCCCAAGUAAAUAUUCAAGGAGGCCCAAGCGUCUAAGCUUGGGGAUGCCCCAGAAGGCAUCCCAUCUUUCUUCGAGAAUUAUCGGUAUGUUUCGGUUUUUGUUUUGUUCACAUGAUAUGCGUAAAUUAUUGGAGCGUCGUGUGCCUUUUAUUUUUCUUUUAGUAAUGCACCAUGCUGGUAUGAGAUAGUCCUUGGUUAAUUUAUAGAAUGCUCUUUGCACUUCAUUUAUAUCUUUUGAGUAUAGCUUUAUAGAAUGCUUCAUGUGCUUCACUUAUAUCAUUUGAAGUUUGGAUUGUCUGUUUCUCUACAUAGGAAAACCGCCAUUUGUAGAAUGAUCCUUUGCUUCACUUAUAUUUGUUAGUGCAUGGAAAAUCUUUUGUAGAAAGAAUUAAACUCUCAAGGUUCACUUAUAUCUAUUUAGAGAGUCAACAGGAAUUGGUCAUUCACAUGGUUAGUCAUAAAAUCCUACAUAAAACUUGUAGAUCACUGAAUAUGAUAUGUUUGAUUCCUUGCAAUAGUUUUGCAAUAUAGAGAUGGUAAUGUGUGGGAGGUACUAGUGAAUGGUUGUGGUUUAGUAAGAAUAUUGGUGUUAAGGUUUGUGAUCCCCUAAGCAUGCACAUAUAGUCUAUAGUUAUGCGACGAAGUUAUAUCCUACUCAUGCUAGUAUUUUGUGUUAAUUAUUCGCAAUGCAUGAUUAUGACCGUUUUUGCUCUCUGGCUGGUUGCUUCUCAAUCUAUUUGCUAGCUUUUACCUGUACUAAGUAGGAUUACUGCUUAUGCAUCCAUACCCUUAAACCAAAGUUGUUCCAGAUGAGUUCACCAUAUCUACCUAUAUGCGGUAUUACUCAGCCAUUCCAAGUAAAAAUCUGCAUCUGCCACCUCUAAUUAUUCAAAUAAGCAUCCGUUUUGUGUGCCCGUACCGCUCAUGUAGCGGCAGGGGGUGGUCAGUAUCUUCCAUGCUAAGGAGGUUAUUCUCACGAUGGGUGUUUAUUCACUUGUCAUUGCACGAGAGAUGCUGGUAUUUGGGAUGCCUAGUCCUAUGAUCAAUACGAAAAAAUAACAAAACAAACUCCCCCGGCUUGUGUUUGAAUGGUUGAGGGGGACUAAACUUUACCUUUUCGCUUGGGAACCGCCAAUAAUGUGUUUAGCAUGGAAGAUAUUGAGAACUCCCGGUCGUUAUGUUGACAGGAAAAGUACAGCUCCCAAAAUGUAUGCAUACCUAUUUAAAGCUUCGAGCUCUGGCACCUUGGCAAAUCCCUGCUUGCCUCUGUGAAGGGCCUAUCUAUUUACUUUAUGUUAUUUACUUUUAUUGUUGAGUCAUCACCUUCUCAUUCAAGCACCAGUUGGAGAGCACUAUUGUCAUUUUUAUGCAUUGAGUAUAGUUAAUGUUGUGUGCAUCAUGACUGGAUCAAUGACUGAGCAUGACGGGCUAGGGACACAUCAUUCUUUAGCAUUUCUAUUCUGAAAGGCAUGAUUCUUUGUUGGUAUGACUGAGUAUUCAUGUCUUUGUGUCAAAUUAUAGACUAUUGUUUUGAAUCACUCGUAUCUUAAUAUUCAUGCCAUGAUUAGAUUACAUGAUCAAGAUUAUGCUAUGUAGCAUUCAACAUCAACAAUUAUCUUUUUAUCAUUUACCUACUGGAGGACGAGUAGGAUUAAGCUUGGAGAUGCUGAUACGUCUCCAUCGUAUCUUUAAUAUUUGAUUGUUUCAUGCCAAUAUUCUACAACUUUCAUAUACUUUUGGCAACAUUUUAUAUUAUUUUUGGGACUAACAUAUUCAUCCAGUGCCCAGUGCCAGUUCCUGUUUGUUGCGUGUUUUUUGUUUUGCAGAAUAUCCAUAUCAAAUGAAGUCCAAACACGAUAAAAAUUCACGGAGAUUUAUUUUGGAAUAUUUUUGAUUUUUGGGAAAAAAAAUCAACGCGAGACGAUGCCCGAGGGGGGCAUAAGCCCAUGGGGCACGCCCCUACAUAGGGCGCACCUGUCAGGCUUGUGGGUCCCUUGUAAGGCGGUUGGUUCCCUUCUUUCACCGCAAGAAAUAUAAUAUCUGGAAGAAAAUCAUGUUAAAAUUUCGGCCCAAUCAGAGUUACGAAUCUCCAGGAAUUAAGAAACGGUAAAGGGCCAGAAAAUAGGAACGCGGAACAGAAGAAAAUAGAGAGAGAGAGAGAGAUCCAAUCUUGGAGGGGCUCUCACCCCUCCACUGCCAUGGCAGCCAUGGACUAGAGGGGAAACUCUCCUCCCAUCUAGGGGAGAGGCCAAGGAAGAAGAAUAAGGAGUGGGCUCUCUCCCAGUGGCGCCGAAGUGCCACCGGGGCAACCAUCGUGAUGACGAUCUACACCAACAACUUCGUCGCCGUCAUCAUCAAUUCUCUCCCCUUCUAUGCAGCUGCAUAAAACCUCCUCUCCUCGCUGUAAUAUCUACUUAAACAUGGUGCUUAACGCUAUAUAUUAUUAUCCAAUGAUGUAUGGCUAUCAUAUGAUGUUUGAGUAUAUCAGUUUUGUCCUAUGGGUUGAUUGAUGACCGUGAUUGGUUUGAGUUGUAUGUUUUAUUUUGGUGCUGUCCUAUGCAGCGUCCCGUCUCGCGCAAGCGUGACGGGUCCCCGCUCUAGGGUGUUGCAAUACAUUCAUGAUUCUCUUAUGAUGGGUGGAGUGAGUGACUAAAACACAUACCCGAGUAAGGGGGUUGUUGCGUAUGGGAGUAAAGAGGACUUGAUACUUAAUGCUAUGGUUGGUAGUUGUGGAUGCCUGCUAGAGUUCCAAUCAUAAGUGCAUAUGAUCCAAGUACGGAAAGUAUGUUAGCUCAUGCCUCUCCCUCGUAUAAAAUUGCAAUAAUGAUUAUCGGUCUAGUUAUCGAUUGCUUGGGGACAAAAUCCUUCUCUUGUGUUACAAAAAUCUUUCUAGUAAACAACUAACUUUUAUUAUUUUGCAAAAUACUCCUAGUUUUAUUUCUGCUAAGUAAUUCUAGUUUUAUUCUUGCAAACUUGUCCUACACCUACAAAAUAGUUUCAUACUUGUUCUAGGUAAAGCGAACGUUAAGUGUGCGUAGAGUUGUAUCGGUGGUCGAUAGAAUUUGAAGGGAAUAUAAAUCCUACCUUUAGCUCCUCGUUGGGUUUGACACUCUUAUUUAUCGAAAAAGCUACAAUUGAUCCCAUGUACUUGUGGGUUAUCAGUGAUACGACUGGAGAAGGAGGGGGAUUUCGGCAGCCUCUAGGCGUUGUCAGGGCGAGCGUGCGGUUGUUCAAAAGUGGGUGCGCUGGCCGGUGCAGGUCCUAGCGAGGAUGAUGGCACCAUGGACGGUCGCGACCACCUCCUUGGCGCACUUGACGUCGAGCCCGACGUCGCCAUCACUGUCGAUGAUGACGACGAGCGCCUUGGAGCAGGCGCGCCUCUUCUGGAUGGCGCGAUCUUCCUCACCCUGGCUUUUUGUCCCAGUUUUUGAAACAGAAUCAUGCGGCAUAGCGGCGCAGGAGUAGCAAGAAUAUCGUUCAAUAUGCAUGUCUUAGUUUGUAAUAGGUUAAGAGCUGCUGUCAGCAACUCUUUUUAACCCAUUCUAAGCGUGUGCAAGAAACAUCCUUCUCCCCAAGUCUUUAUCUAUGUUUAGGAGAAUCCCACAUUGUUCGGGAGACUACCUGUGAUCAUAAGAACAUACAACGUGGAUAUGUUGGAGCGGAUCCAGAACGCAGCGUGUAGGUUUUGCUUCUCAGGGUGACUUUAUUUACCAGGAGUAGUUCACGGUGUGACACUUCUCGAGGAGCCCCUGUUUCACGGAUGGGCCUUGCAUAGGACAAAAUCGCUUUGUGAAGAAUGACCCGCCGAGUUGAAUCAACGGGGCCUCUGCUCCCAUCCUAGCUUGGCUAAUACACAUGGGGAGGGGCAACAUCCCGUGACUUGGGGAAGCAAGUUCGUGAUGAUCCACAAGUAUAGGAGAUCAAUGGUAGCUCUUUUCUAUAAGUACGAGUGUCGAACCCAACGAGGAGCAGAAGGAAAUGACAACUGGUUUUCAGCAAGGAAAUGUCGGCAAGUACUGAAAUUGUAAGUAGCAGAGUAGUUUGAUAGAAAGAUAAUUUGUAACGAGCAAGUAAUGAUAGUAGCAAUUGAAGUGCAGCAAGGUAGCCCAAUCCUUUUGAGGCAAAGGACAGGCCAAAACGGUCUCUUAUGAUAAGCAAAGCGUUCUUGAGGGUACACGGGAUUUUCAUCUAGUCACUUUCAUCAUGUUGGUUUAAUUCGUGUUCGGUACUUUGGUAAUUUGAUAUGUGGGUGGACCGGUGCUUAGGUGUUGUUCUUACUUGAACAAACCACCUACUUAUGAUUAACCCUCCCGCAAGCAUCCGCAACUACGAGAAAAUUACUAAGAAUAAAUUCUAACCAUAGCAUUAAACUUUUGGAUCCAAUCGGUCCCUUACGGAAUAGCCCACAAACUAGGGUUUAAUCUUCUUUCAUUCUCGCAACCCAUCAUCUAAUUGCUACUCCACAAUUCAUUCCCUUAGGCCCAAAUAUGGUGAAGUGUCAUGUAGUCGAUGUUCACAUGACACCACUAAGGGAAUCACAACAUACAUAAUAUCAAAAUAUCGAACACAUAUCAAGUUCACAUGAUUACUUGCAACAUGAUUUCUCUCGUGACCUCAAGAACAAAGUAACUACUCAGAAAUGAUAAUCAUGCUCAAGAUCAGAGGGGUAUUAAAUAGCAUAUUGGAUAUGAACAUAUAAUCUUCCACCAAAUAAACCAUAUAGUAAUCAACUACAAGAUGUAAUCAACACUACUAGUCACCUACAAGCACCAAUCUAUAGUUCCGGUAACAAGAUUGAACACAGGAGAUGAACUAGGGUUUGAGAUGAGAUGGUGUUGUUGAAGAUGUUGAUGGAGAUUGCCCUCCCCAAGAUGGGAGAGUUGUUGGUGAUGAUGAUGACGAUGAUUUCCCCCUCCGGGGGGGAAGUUCCCCCGGCAGAAUCGCUCCACCAGAGGGCAAAAGUGCUCCUGCCCAAGUUCCGCCUCGAGACGGCGGCGCUCCGUCCAGAAAGUCCUCUCCUUAUUUUUUCUAGGUCAAAAUGACUUAUAUACCAGAAGAUGAGCACUGGAGGUGGGCCUGGGUGAGCACAACCCACCAGGGCGCGCCUGGCUUCCUGGCGCGCCCAGGUGGGUUGUGCCACCUGGUGGGGCCCCUCUAGUAGUUAUUUGCUCCAAUAUUCAUCAUAUAUUUGAUAAAAAAAUCUUCGUGAAGUUCCAGCUUGUUUGGAGUUGUGCAGAAUAGGUGGUCUGAUGUGACUUUUCCAGGUCCAGAUUUCCAGCUACCGGAAUUCUCCCUCUUUGUGUGUACAUUGUAAAUUAUGAGAGAAAAGGCAUUAGAAUUACACCAAAAAGAAUUAUUAUGCAUAAAAAACAUCAUAAAUAACAUUAAGGAAACAUGAUGCAAAAUGGACGUAUCAGUUCGCAUGGGUUGCGUCCCGAGAAUGGGUCCUUCGCGACCAUGUGUGGUGUGUUGCUGAGGCUCCACAUGCGUACUUGGUCAAGUAGGGAAACAAGCACUGGGCGACAGAAGGAACAACAAAAACAACGUAGUAUAGGUACGCCAUGGCACUCCUUCUUAAAUGGGGAGCUCCCGGAUACAUGGCAGUCGAGGUACUUAGCUUUUUAACAUUAGCUAGGAGGAUCUGAGCCUGGCUUGUCGUGGAGCCACAGCUCUCCGGGUGGCCCGCGACUCCCGGGUAGGUGAUGUCUACUACACAACUUGUUCUUGUAGACUCGUGUUGGGCCUCCAAGCACAGAGUUUUGUAGGAUAGUAGCAAUUUUCCCUCAAGUGGAUGACCUAAGGUUUAUCAAUCUAUGGAAGACGUAGGAUGAAGAUGGUCUCUCUCAAACAACCGUGCAACUAAAUAAAGGAAAAAAAAACCUUGUGUCCCCAACACACCAAAUACAAUGGUAAAUUGUAUAGGUGCACUAGUUUGGCGAAGAGAUGGUGAUACAAGUGUAGUAAUGAUAGUAGAUAUUGAUUUUUGUAAUAGGAACAAUAAAAAAAUAGUAAGGUAGCAAGUAACAAAAGUGAUCACAAACAUUAUAGAAAUGCUUGAAAAUGAGGCCUAGGGUCCGUACUUUCACUAGUGCAAUAUCUGAACAAUGGUAAUACAAUUGGAUCAUAUAACCGUCCCUCAACAUGCGAUGAAGAAUCACUCCGAAGUUCCUAUCACUACAAAAAAUACACUUCCGUGAUGAUACGUGUUUGUCAUAGUAGGUCGCUUUUUUGUCAUGCAUGUACAUCCAUGACAAAUUUAUGACAGAAUCAAGAUAGGCAUACCUGUGCUGUCGUAGAAGUGUUCCAUGACAUUACCAAAAUUAUCAUCACGGAAGUGUCCACUUCCAUGACGAUAAAUCGCGCGUCACAGAAGUGCUUUCGUCAAGGGUGACCGACACAUGGCAUCCACCGUAACGGAACGCCGUUAAGCUAUCAGGUCGGGUUUUGGAUCCGAUAACCCAUUAACAACCCCGACCAAUGGGGAUUUUCCACGUGUAAAAUCAUCAUUGGCUAGAGGAAACACGUGUCGGCUCAUCAUUGGGACAGAUGUCAUCCACUCACUGGAUAGAAGGCAACUAUGAUAUGUCGACACGUGGCAUGGCCCAACAAGUUUAAAUGGGCUAGCCCAACUAAAGGCCCACAAGAUUUUGUGGACCAUAAUGGGACGGCCCAGCUAAAGGCCCAUGAGAUUUUGCGGACCAUAAUGGGCUGGCCCAGAUAAAGGCCCACAAGAAUUCACGGGGCAUAAUGGGUCGGCCCAGGUAAAGGCCCACAAGAUUUUCGUGUGCCAUAAUAGCCCGACCCAGGUAAAGGCCCACAAUGACUCUAGCCCAUAAUGAACAGUAAUUUUCUUUAUACUCGUUAACGGCCCGUGAUUUACAUGGGCCGUUUCCAGCCCGUGUUAGCUUUCGGCCUAUUGACGGCCCAUACGUUCUUGGGCUCCUUUUCGGCCCUCGAUUACUUCCGGCCCGUUACUGGCCUGUUCCCCUAAUGGGCCAAAUUCGGCCCAUGGCAAGAGUCGGCCCGUUACUGGCCUGUUCCACUAAUGGGAGAAAUUCGGCCCAUGGCAAGAGUCGGCCCGUUACUGGCCUGUUACCCUAAUGGGCCAAAUUUGGCCCAUGGAAAGAGUCGGCCCGUUUCUGGCCUGUUAACCCGUUGCGCCGUUCCCAGCCCAUCCUAUAUUCUGGCCCAUUAACGACCCGUUAUGCCUGUGAUAGAAUUAAGCCUUUGUUGUCUUAUGGCGUGUUAACGGCCUAUUACCAUGCUGGUCCGAUACCAAUUACGCCCGGUUAUGGCCCAUGUAGACCCAUUUAUUCAAUGGCCCGAGGCCCACCGAUUACAGGCCCAUUUAUCGACGGCCCGUAGGAGACCCAUGGAUCCUACAGCCCGUAUAUGGCUCAUGGUAGUUGCGGCCACUAGCAAACCAGGUAAAAAGAAGACUAGGAAAUAAAUAAGGCCGAAACUAACACAAGGCUAUUAAGGCGAUUGCACAUAUUACAUCCACUCGGCAUCAAAGAUCGCCACCAGUGCAAAUAUAGGGAACACCCUACACUAUACAAAAAUGGCUUGUUGUUUUCUUCAGGCGAUGGCUGCACGUUAAGAAUAAAUUUUGUAUCGCACCAAAACAAAUUACAACUAUAUAACAAAAGGAAGGUUGGCAUAAAACUUAACAUUCUAGCAGAUAAAUGCACCACCAGAAGUUCAGAAGUUUAGUUCAUUUGACCUGACUGUUACGUUUUCAUGUUGUAUUGUCCGAUGGAGCACCAUAACCUCACCUUCAUUUCCCCUAGGCUCCUGAACAACAUAGCAAAUGUCUGAUAGUCUAGUUUCAAAACCAUGCAUAUCUUAACGACAUUGAGCAAUGUUCUUCCUUGUUUCACAAAGGGUCUCUAUUAGGGAAUGGACUUGUGUCUGGAGCGUAGAUACAACAUUGCUUUGAGCUUGCAUAUCUUGAUCAUGAGGCAAUUUGGACGAUAUUGCCUUAACAACCAACCCAGUAUUACGCAGGAACGUGCUUUUGGCACUAUUAGUGGACAGGUACUGACCCACUGCAACAAGAGCUGACAUUGCGGUUAUAGUUGCCUCGCCACCUUCAGAAGGUGGCGGUUCCACCAUUUUUUCCAUAGCUCGCUGAAAAGUUGAGGUUUUACAUUAGUAGUACCAGAACAGAAGAUAUUAAGGAGGCAGCAAAACCAAACAAAAUAGCUUUGGUCUAUAUACAGAACUUAUUCUGGUGAACCCAUGUAAAAUAUUAGUUGUAUUUUAUUGCAAAGUACAUAAUAAAACCAGGUUCCAAACAUAUGACCAUGUACCAUCGCUAAUGUAUUGUCUAUUUCUUCACAUUGUAUUGAGGGCUAAGGAUAAAGAGACAAAGUUUAUAAUACGGUAAGCAUAGUAUGAUGUCAUUCAUAUCACAAAACAACUGAGAACAGACAAACAUGCAAUUGUAACGUUGUGUGGGCAAGUCCAGCAUGGAACUAGAUUAUGGGUCAUGAUCAAAGGAACAUCACUCCUCUCUUUUAAACCUUGUCAGGUGCAAUGAUACGCUAAGACAAUUGUGUAUAAAAUUGAAAUGAGUAAUAGACAUUGGCUGCAAACCAUGCAGUUCAAGGCACAAGUCAGAGUAAGUAGUAGUUAAAAGGCAUGAGGAUUAAGGACUUACAACAGCGGCUUUGACUGGUGUAGUCAUGCCCUUCUUCUUGCUGGUGUGACAGUCCUUGAAGAUUUCCACAACAUUUGGUUCAUGUACUUUUUGAUCCUUGCAGGCUUUCCUCUGCAUUUGGAACAAGUCAAUAUAGAUAUGAUAAUAUGGUACAGCGAAAAGAGUGAAACAACAACUAAUUACAAGAGCCUCGCAGUGUGCAAUAUAGCUACGAGAUCCUGUUGUCUGUUGGAAUUUCACUUUCGUACGGUUGGCCUUGUUCUUUGAACAGUUCACCUACAAGAAGAUAGAUUUGUGUGGCACAUGCGUAAAUAGGACUUCAACAUGUGAUCUGAUGACAUAUAUACAAUGUACCUAAUACUUCGGAUCGGACCAGUGUUUAACGAGGCCUCUCCAGUCUUCAUCAGAUAUAUUUUCCACUGGAGAUGUUUGGGCAAGUUCACUGUUAGCCUUGCCUUCAAAGUGAGUUUUCCUCAAGUUAUACCGAUAUUGUCACAGAGCAGAGUUGAAAACAUGGGUGCAAGCUUGUCUGGUUGCAUCAUCUUGGCUAUCCAACUUGAACCUCAUCUGUUGAAAAUUAUGGGAGUCUCAUUAUCAGCAACCUAGAAAGUAUUGGACAGAGCAAGACGAUAUUACUAGUUUCCAUACAUAACCAUACUUACAGAUAAAUGGUCGAGGAAGAUGUUGAACUUGGUUUCGUCUUUGUCAUUCCUGUACUGAAUCCAUGUUGGGAGGAUACGUACAUGACACCUAACAGCAACCGCUGCCUCUGAUACUAACUUGGCUGACUCUGUAGCAUCACGUGGCCUUUUUAAACCUGCCUCAAAACAGAUCUCCAUUCUUCCUCCUCUAGAUUUAGUUAACCUAUCGAGCAUUAUCCCUGAUGUUUGUUUCCUCUUGCGCCUAGGUGCUAGUCCAACAACAAACAUGGGAAGUGUUAGCGUACAUCAAACUGUGAGACUACUUAUAAAGAAGCAUGCAACUGUAACUUGACUCCAGCAACUACCUUCUUGUUG
RNAcentral lists this long non-coding RNA (14447 nucleotides) under Triticum aestivum (bread wheat). RNAcentral's name for it is "long non-coding RNA (TAES_LNC010444)". The record is from RNAcentral. Lineage: Eukaryota; Viridiplantae; Streptophyta; Magnoliopsida; Poales; Poaceae.